RNAcentral lists this ribosomal RNA (489 nucleotides) under uncultured bacterium. RNAcentral's name for it is "bacterial SSU rRNA". It matches the Rfam family "Bacterial small subunit ribosomal RNA", at positions 29 to 511 of the family's 1533-position model. The record is from RNAcentral.
AACGAACGCUGGCGGCGCGCCUAAUACAUGCAAGUCGAGCGAGAAGACGUAGCAAUACGUUUGUAAAGCGGCGAACGGGUGAGGAAUACAUGGGUAACCUACCCUCGAGUGGGGAAUAACUAGCCGAAAGGUUAGCUAAUACCGCGUACGCUCCUUGGACUUCGGUUCAGGGAGGAAAGCGAUACCGUGGGUAUCGCGCUCUUGGAUGGGCUCAUGUCCUAUCAGCUUGUUGGUGAGGUAACGGCUCACCAAGGCUUCGACGGGUAGCUGGUCUGAGAGGACGAUCAGCCACACUGGCACUGCGACACGGGCCAGACUCCUACGGGAGGCAGCAGUAAGGAAUAUUGCGCAAUGGGCGAAAGCCUGACGCAGCGACGCCGCGUGGGGGAUGAAGGUCUUCGGAUUGUAAACCCCUUUCGGGAGGGAAGAUGGAACGAGCAAUCGUUCGGACGGUACCUCCAGAAGCAGCCACGGCUAACUUCGUGCCAG